RNAcentral lists this unclassified non-coding RNA (650 nucleotides) under Hevea brasiliensis (rubber tree). The record is from RNAcentral. Lineage: Eukaryota; Viridiplantae; Streptophyta; Magnoliopsida; Malpighiales; Euphorbiaceae.
CCCAACCAGACCGAGCUCUCCCAGCUCAAUUCAUCAUCUGGUCGACUUUUCUCUGUUCUCAUUCCCUCUCCUUCACUUCUACCCACCACCUCUUCUUCAUCUUCUUCUAUCUAUCUCUCUCUUCCUUCAAUCCAGUCUCAGAAUUUUGACACAGAAUGUCAGGAGGUGGUACGCAAAAAAGCUUAAGGAAAGCACUUGGGGCCCUNNNNNNNNNNNNCACGACUGUUUCAUUGGCCAAAGUCAAUAGCGAUUACAAGGAAUUGGACAUCGCUAUAGUUAGGGCCACAAAUCAUGUUGAGCGGCCUGCAAAGGAAAAACACAUUAGAGCCAUUUUUGCUGCCAUUUCAGCUACUAGGCCUCGGGCUGAUGUUGCCUAUUGCAUCCAUGCUCUUGCCAGACGGUUAGCAAAAACGCACAACUGGGCGGUUGCAUUGAAAACUUUAAUUGUUAUUCACCGUGCUUUGAGGGAAGUGGACCCCACAUUUCAUGAGGAACUUAUUAAUUAUGGCAGAAGCAGGAGUCAUAUGCUUAACAUGGCUCAUUUCAAAGAUGAUUCCAGUCCCAAUGCAUGGGAUUAUUCUGCAUGGGUUCGUACUUAUGCCUUAUUUUUGGAGGAAAGGUUGGAAUGCUUCCGUGUUCUGAAGUAUGAU